GUCUCAGGAAAUAUUUCCUAUCGAGGGC
This 28-nucleotide small RNA is filed under the name Bombyx mori (domestic silkworm). Its description in RNAcentral is "ovarian small RNA-17806". Lineage: Eukaryota; Metazoa; Arthropoda; Insecta; Lepidoptera; Bombycidae. The record is from RNAcentral.